UUUUUUUUUUUUUUUUUUUUUUUUUUUUUUUUGGUUGGGAGGUUUUUAAUGACUUCCAUGACUUCUAUUUCCUUAGGGGAAUAUUGGCCUGUUUACCUACUCUUGAUUAAAGUUUGGUACAUUUAAGUAUGGUCCCCUUUUCACUUCUAAUUUUGUUAAUUUGUGUCCUUUAGUUAGUUUGGCUAGAGGUUCAUCUAUUUUGUUGCUUUUCUCAAAGAACCAGCUUUUGGUUCUGUUGUUAGUUUUUUUUUUGUAUAUAUAUAUAUAAUUCUCAGUGUUUCCAUUUGGUUGAUUUUGGCCCUGAGUUUGGCUAUUUCCUGCCAUCUACUCCUCUUGGGUUCCUUUUGUUCUAGGGCUUUCGGGUGUGCUGUUAAGUUGAUAGUAUAGGAUCUCCAGGGCACUUAGUGCUAUGAAUUUUCCUUUUAGUACUGUUUUCAUUGUGUCCCAUAAGUUUGGGUGUGCUGUAUCAUCAUUUUUAUUGAGUUCUAGGGAGUCAUUAAUUUCUUUAUUUUGUCUCUGACCAAGUUAACAUUGAGUAGAGAGUUGUUCAGUUUCCAUGGCAUGUAAGUUUUCUGUUAUUUUUGUUGUUAUUGAAGUCUAGCCUUAGUCUGUGGUGAUCUGAUAGGAUGCAUGGGAUUUUGUCAGUCUUCUUGUAUCUUUUGAGGUCUGUGUUGUGAGCAAUUAUAUGGUCAGUUUUGGAGAAGGUACAGUGAGGUGCUGAGAAGAAGGUAUUUUUUUCUUUGUUUUAAGGUGAAAUGUUCUGUAUAUACCUGUUAAAUCCAUUUGGUUUGUAUUAGAUUCACUGUGUCUCUGUUGUUGUAAAAAUAUAAAAUAAAAAUAUAUAGUUGGUGUUUUACCCUGCUUGGUGCCCCAAGAUAUCUGCUAGAUAUCUUGGCAGAAACACAUCCCAGCCACACACUUUCCUACACUCAAACCCUCACAUAAAACAACACACAACACAAUAAUCUUUGACCCAAUUGGUAAGAUAUAAUUGCCCACUUAAACAUACAAAGCCCAGUACCAUCCAUCCCUUGAGAACAUUAAUAACAACCUGUAAAUACACAGAGCAGAAUCUUAACAUCACCUGCCAUCUUGUCCUGCCACGGCUCCUCUCCCUCCUGUCUCUUCCUCUCUCCUCAUCUCCCUCUCUUCCUUCAAACUUCUCUUCCGCCCAUCUUUCCUUCUCCUCCCAUGACAGGCCUCCUUCUAUCCUGUACCUGCCCCUCACCUGUACUUUACAAAUUCAAUGGGGAAAAGGUUCUGAUCAAGUCACCUGAUUCCUGAGUAUGUGACUAGGAAGCUGUCCUUGGGGCAGUGGUAUUAGCAUCAAAAUACAGUUAACUUCAGGGGAAACCACAACAUGUCUCUGUUUUGUGUCUGUUUCAAUGACAUGUCCAUUGGUGAGAGUGGGGUGUUGAAGUGUGCUUUGAGUUUUAGUAAAGUUUCUUUUAUGAAUGUGGGUGCCCUUACAUUUGGGACAUAGAUGUUCAGAAUUGAGACUUUCUCUUGGUGGAUUUUUCUUUUUGAUGAACGUGAGUGUCUUUCCCCACCUCACUUGAUACCUUCUAGUUGAAUAUUAGAAUGGCAACUUCUGCUUGUUUCUUGGGAUCAUUUGCUUGGAAGACUUUUUUUUAGCCUUUUACUCUUUUAUUAUCUGUCUUUGUCAUUGAGGUGUGUUUCUUGUAUGGAGCAAAGUGCUAGAUCCUCCUUGAAUGAUCCUGCUUGAGUAUCCAGUCUGUUGGUUUAAGUUUUUUUAUUGGGGAAUUAAGUAAGUUGAUAUUGAGAGAUAUUAAAUACAGAUGAUUCCUGUUAUGUUUGUUGUUGUAGGUGGCAUUAUGUAUGUUUGAUUCUCUCCUUUUGGUUUUAUUGUGAGAUGAUUAAUUUCUUGUUUUUUCUUUGGUGUAUAUACUCUCCUUGUGUUGGAGUUUUUCUUCUAGAAUACUCUGUAGGGCUGGAUUGGUAGAUAAAUAUUGUUUAAAUUUGGUUUUGUCAUGGAAUAUUUUGAUUUCUCUAUCUAUGAUAAUUGAGAGUUUUGCAGGGUAUAGUAGCUUGAGUUGGCAUUUAUGUUCUCUUAGGGUGUGCAUGACAUCUGUCCAGAUUCUUCUGGCUUUUAGGGUCUCUGUUGAGAAUUCUGGUGUAAUUCUGAUAGGUCUACCUUUAUAUUUGACCUUUUCCCAUACAGUUUUUAAUAUUCUUUCUUUGUUUUGUGCAUUCAGUGUUUUAUUAUUUGACAAGAGGAUUUUCUUUUCUGGUCCAAUCUAUUUGGUGUUCUCUAGGCUUCUUGUAUAUUUAGGUUGGGGAAGUUUUCUUUUAUGAGUUUGUUGAAGACAUUUUCUGACCCUUUGAGCUGGGAAAUCUUUACUCUCUUCUGUAUCGUGUCCUGGAUUUCCUGGAUGAUUUGGGUUAGGGUUUUUUUUUUCUGUUUUGAAUUUUCUUUGACUAUUGUGUCAAUAUCUUCUAAGGUAUCUUCUACACCUGAGAUCCUCCCUUCUAUUUCUUGUAUUCUGUUGUUGAUGCUUCUAUCUGUAGCUCCUGAUCCCUUUCCUAGGUUUUCCAUUUCCAGAGUUUUCUUUAUUGUUUCUACUUCUAUUUUUACAUCUUGGACUACUUUGUUUAAUUCCUUCACCUGUUUGGUUGUAUUUUCCUGUAUUUCUUUAAGGAAUUUAUUUGUUUCACCACUAGGGCUUCUACCUGUUUACCAGCAUUUUCUUGUGUUUCUUCCAGUUUCUUAAGUUUCUUCCUUAAAGGAUUCUAUUUUCUUCUUGAGAUGGAAUUUUAGGUCAACAUCCUGUUUUUCAGGUAUGUUGGUAUAUCCAGGGCUUGCUGUGAAGGGAGAACUGGUACCAAAGUAUAUGGGCUUCUGUUGCUUAUGGUCUUGUGUUUGCCUCUUGCCAUCUGGUUAUCUCUGGUGUUAACUGGCCUGGGUAUCUCUGUCUGGAGCCUGCCUCCUGGGUUGCUGCAGGUGUCCUGGUAGACCUGUUCCCCUGGCUGUAGCAGAUCUCCUGGGAGGUCUUCAGACUAUGGGGUCUUCAAAGGGGAAUGCAUGCUGAUGAUCUUUUGCCCUGGCUGCAGUGGAUAUCUUGGGAGGCCUUCAGACUGUGGGAUCUGUUGCUCUGGGUGCAGCAGAUCUCCUGAGAGGCCUUCAGACUAUGGAGUAUAUUGCCCUGGGUGCAGCAGAUCAACUGAGAAUUGUCUAGACUGUGGAGUCUUCAGAGGGGCAGACAAGCUGCUGAUCUGACCAGGUGGAAAGUGCAUGCUGGAAAGGGGUUGGAGUUUGAGCCUUAAUGAGAUUCUUUUAAACAUUUGCAUAUGUUGACAUUCUCACUUCUGAUUUUGCACUAAAGGUUUCUAACCAAAGAUGUGAGUAACCUGUACCCAGGGCUCCAGCCACAAGAAAAUACUACAAAUUUCCUCUGUUCAAUUUUUGUUAGUAUUCUCAUUUUCUUCUCUUAUUUCACCACCCUCUAUGAUUUUGCCAUAUGGAUGAAAGAAAUAAUUGUUCUUAGAGAUUGAUACUAUUGUGCAGGGCAAGUGAAAAGGGUUUAGAGAGUACUUAAAACCCAUCUUCAAUCUGAGCAAUUCAGUCAUCUGAAUUGCAAAAUGAGGUUCUGGGCUGAGAUGCUAGCUUAUUGUUAUACAGUAUACCUAGCAAGCACAAUGCUCUCCAUUUGUUGCUCUGGUCCCCACUGGAAGAGCACCCCCGGUUUAGUGAGGGGGUACAAAGGGGCUGCCAUUUCAGCAAACCCAGGAAUCCAGAGGUGGCAAAAUCCCGCUGUCCCCAAAAACUCUCGUAGCUGUUGGCCAUUUUUGGGGGCAGUGAUGCCGGCCACAGUCUGUUUCCUGGCUGGGGUCAGCCAUCGCUGUCCAUCCCGUAGCUGGUAUCCUAAAUAAGUAACCUGGGUCUGGCAAAUUUGAGCCUUUUUGGCAGAGGCUCGAUAGCCCAAUCGUCCCAAAGUCUGUAAGAGGGAUUCAGUUCCCUGUUGGCAUGCAGUUUCAGAAGUGGCCGCUAGGAGGAGGUCAUCUACGUACUGCAGGAGUAUGAGGGUGGGGUGCUGAACUUGAAAGUCAGCUAAAUCCUGAUGUAAGGCCUCAUCAAAGAGCGUUGGGCUGUUUUUAAACCCUUGAGGCAGUCUUGUCCAAGUUAAUUGUCCUGAAAGCCCUAUUUCAGGGUCUCUCCACUCAAAGGCAAAUAAGGGUUGGCUUUUCGGGCUCAGCUGGAGGCAAAAGAAGGCAUCUUUUAGGUCUAAAACUGUAUACCAAGUAUGUGUAGGGGGCAGUGUACUGAGCAAAUUAUAAGGGUUUGGAACAGUCGGAUGAAUAUCUUCUACCCUCUUGUUGUCCUCUCUCAGAUCUUGUACUGGCCUAUAAUCUCCAGUGCCGGGUUUUUUAACAGGCAGAAGAGGCGUAUUCCAAGGCGACUGGCAGGGGACUAGGAUGCCUUGAUCCAGAAGCCUCGUAAUGUGAGGCCUUAUGCCUUGGUAAGCUUCAUGUGACAGGGGUAUUGUUUUAUGGAGACUGGAGUUGCAGUGGCCUUUAACUGAAUAAUUAAGGGGGGCUGUUGGAGCGCCAACCCCAUUCCACCAGUCUCUGCCCAAGCUAGUGGGAACUUUGUGACCCAAGAGUCUAUUUCUGUAGAUCGUGGUUUGUCUUGCCCCAGUUCAUAUAGUCUAUAUUCGUCUUCUAAUUGAAGGGUUAGAAUUUGGAGAGGGGUCCCGCGAGGGCCAGUUACUCGGGCCCCUCCUUCUUCAAAAUGAAUUUGUGCUUUUAGUUUGGUGAGCAAAUCAUGGCCCAACAAAGGGUAUGCACAAUCCGGAACAUGUAAAAAAGAAUGAGUCACCUUACUGGUAGCCAACUGAACCCGGCGAUCUGUAGUCCAUCGGUAUGUCUUGCCACCAGUGGCUCCUUGCACCCAGGCCGUCCGGUCACUGAGCUGUCCAUGAGCCCGGGUGAGGACUGAAUGUUGGGCUCCAGUGUCUACCAGAAAGGUAACGGGCUGCCCCCCGACUUCAAGAGUUAUCCUGGGCUCAGGGGGGCAGCUCCUGGCCCUGACCUCCCUAAUCUUCAUCUAGGUCUAAAAGGGAGUUUCGUGGUCGAGGCUUUCGGGGUCCUCCAGGCUUCUUGGGGCAUUCUCUGGCCCAGUGUCCUUUCUCUUUGCAAUAGGCACAUGGAUCUUUAUCCAGCUUCAGCCCCUUUCGAGCUCCCACCCUAUCUCCCUUUCUUUCCUGGCUCUGAACUACAGCGGCCAAGAUCCGAUUCAGCUCCUUGUUCCUUUUCCUCUCUCUCUCAUCUUUCUCUCUACGUACUCUUUCUUCCUUCUCCUCCUGUGUCUCUCUCUUAUUAAAAAUCCUUUCUGCUUCCUUAAGCAAGUCCUGCAGCAUAUAGCCCUGUAGUUCUCCAAUCUCUGUAACUUAAUAUCGGGUGCAGCCUGCCAGAUGAAGGACAUAGAGACACUUGUCAUCUGCCCUGGGUCAUCUGGAUCAUAGGGUGUAUACAUAUGAUAGGCCUCUUUUAGCCUUUCUAAGAAAGCUGAGGGGGUCUCAUCGGCCCCCUGUAAUACCUGCUUUACCUGAGCCAAAUUGGUAGGGCGCCGGGCAGCCCCUCGGAGACCCGCUAAGAGCAACUGGCGGUAAAGGCGUAGGUGUCCCCUACCGUCAACCAUAUUGAAGUCCCAGUUCGGUCUUGUAAGUGGGAACGCAUCAUCAAUUGCAUCAGGCAGCUGAGUCGGACGCCCAUUAUCCCCCAGGACGUGCUUCCUGGCUUCCAGGAACACUCUUUGUUUUUCUUCUGAAGUCAAGAGAGCCUGCAAGAGCUGCUGACAAUCAUCCCAAGUGGGCUGAUGUGUGAGUAAAACAGAUUCUAUUAGUUCAGUAAGGGCCACUGGGUCCUUGGAAAAAGGGGGAUUGUGCUGCUUCCAGUUAUAGAUGUCGGCCGUGGAGAAGGGCCAAUACUGGGUCUGCCCUCCCGUUCCCUGUCUAAGGGGAAAGGCCUGAGAGGUUGAAUCCGGUGCUGCUUCUCGCUUAUGGCGCAGUCUCCCCGCUAUUGGGGAAAAUGCUGCCUCGGACUGUGGUCCAACCUCUGGGGAGGCAGGCAGUCUUGCCUCUGCCUCCUGAGUCGAGCUUGUAGAAACAGGAUAGGGAGGAGGUUCUUCAGAUAGGAAAUCUAUAAGAGGAGAGUUAGAAUCUUCCGGAAGCACCGGCUUGGGUUUAAAUGUGGUAGUCUUGAGAGAUUCCUCCUUAGUAAGGACAGGAUAGAGAGAGGAAGGGGUUGAAGGAGGAACAAGUGGGGCUGAGGGAGUAGGGGGCCUACUCAGGUCCUCAAAGGGUUGUACCCAAGUGGAUCAAAGGCAAGGCUUUCCCAGGUGAUAAUAUAGGGCACCUGGUCAGGGUAUCCAUGAAGUCCCUUAUGGAAGAUCUGAUCCUUGACCUGUAAAAUAACAGUUUUAUUAAAGGUACCAUCCACCGGCCAUCCGGCUCCGAAAGUGGGCCACUCAGAAGUACAGAGGGUCUGCCACUCCCCCUUCUUGAUUUUGACCGAUUGAUCUUUGGCUCGGUCUUUGACGUCUUUCCAGUGGUCAAGAGUAAGGCUCAGAGGUGUUAUUAAAGACUGUCCCAUGUUAGUUUCAAAGAAAACUAACAUACAAACAAGACAAAUACACCCAACAAUCAAACAAGCAACAGUCAGACGCGUUGCACAGCUUCGGCGCAAAACUGAAAGUAAAAAAUCGGAGGGAUGCACCGAGGGUCUGGAUCCCUCACCCUCAACCAAAACCCCGUAUCCCUCCGAUAUGGGCGGAGCCCCGACAAAUCGGGCUUCAAACACCCUUGGAACGUCUUCCAGGGCGGCGGGGGAGAAGUCCAAGCUCGUCAGCUCCUCCUCUGGCCCGCUCAAACACUGACAGCCUAGACUCAAAUCCAGUAACCAAGCAGUUAUGAAGCAAGCCACACGACAAGAUGAGACAGAACACAACGAAUGCUGGCCAGCUUACCUCCCAGUGGGUGGUCGGUGGUCCUUGGGUAGAGAAUCUCCGAUCCCGGAUGAGCCCCCAAACGAAAGACCCUCAGAGAGAAUCUUCCCUCAGGAGGGAGAUCCUCGAGCCCAAUGACCAGUCCGAGUCCACAGGCUGCAAUCAGCAAGAGGAUUUUUAUUGAUCAAGAUGAAAGACCCCAGCUUAGCAGCAGUAACGCCAUUUUGCAAGGCUAUAUUUAAGAUGACUGGUUCAGAGAAAGGUUAGAACACUGAGUACACAGCGGCUGCCAAACAAGAUGUGUUUGGUUGAAGGCCUGGCAACAGGAGGACUGCCGUUGAGCACCUGACAAUGAGAAAAGCCCCAGGAGAGGUCCCACACCCUGGUGGGGGGCCGAGUCAGCCGUUAUGUUCCAAGAAGGUAGCUAAGAAACUUGCCCCCAGGCUGAACCCUUGCCAUAUUAGAAUCCACCAAUUAUAUCCCUGUAACCAUGCAUCUGCUUCUGUAUGCUUGCUUCUGCUCCCCAAAAUCCUAUAAAAGCCCAUCCUUGGUUCCAUGGGGCGCGCCAGUCCCCCGAGUGGCUGAAGCGCCCGCAGGUGCCUGUGCCUGUGUAUCCCGACAAUAAACCAAAUCCUCUUGCUGACUGCAUCCUGUGGUGUCUCGGUCUGGUCUUUGGAGUUGGAGGGUCUCCAUCCCGAGGGAAAGUUCUCCCAGAGAGCUUUUCAUUUGGUGCGUUGGCCGGGAAAGGAGAUCCUCCACCCAGGGACCACCGACCACCCACUGGGAGGUAAGCCGGCCGGCGUCUGUCUGUCUGUCUGAUUUUGUCUCGUUCUGCCUUAUUCUGUCUGUUCUGUGAGCGCUCAGCCAGGUCUGUUCUGUGAGCGCUCAGCCAGGUUGUUUGGAAUUUGGGCGGGACGAAGAAGGAGCUGACGAGCUCGGACUUCUCGCCCCGCAGCCCUGGAAGACGUUCCAAGGGUGUUAGGGGCCCGACUUUUCGGGGCCCAAUCUGGGAGAGGAGAAAGAUCCGGACUAACGGCACCUCUGUCUGUAUUUUUGGCUUUCAGAGGGCCCCGGACCUUUGCCACCUCCAUCUGACUUUUUGCUUUCAGUUUGGUACCAAAGCCGUGCAGCACGCCUGUCUGUUGUUUGUUUGACUGUUGGUGUUGUUUGUUUUCUCUGUGUUCUAAUCUUCCUUAGAACUAACAUGGGACAGUCCCUAACAAUGCCCCUAAGUCUCACUCUUGAUCAUUGAGAAGACGUCCACGACCGGACACACAACCAGUCCAUCGAGGUUAAAAAAGGAAAAUGACAGACUCUCUACACAUCCGAGUGGCCCACUUUCGGAGCGGGAUGGCCAGUGAAUGACACAUUUAAUAAGAUCAUUAUUUUACAGGUUAAAGAUCGGGUUGUCCACGGACAUCCUGACCAGGUUUCUUAUAUUAUCACUUGAGAGAGUCUCGCCUUAACCCCCCCCCCCCGGGCGGAACCCUUCGUGAACCCGAAUUGGCCUCCCCUCAACCCCCAGCCUGUCCCCUCGGCCCCGCCCGGUCCGCCGGCCACGUCUUCCUCUCUCUACCUUUGUGAAAUCAGAGCCUUCUAAGAAACCUGUCCUCCCGGCAGACCCAAACUCCCCUCUCAUAGAUCUUCUCUCUGACAGGCCCGGCUGAAACGGAGGAGGCAGAGCCGCCGGCCAGAUCAGUUGCCGGGCCACAGUCUGAUAAGGGUUUCUCCCCUGUCGCAGGGAGAUUGCGCAAUAAGCGCGAGGUGAUGCCAGAUUUCAACCUCCCAGGCUUUCCCACCUAGACAGGGAACCGGUGGCCAGACCCAAUACUGGCCGUUUUCAGCAGCUGACUUACCCACCAGCCUAUGACUGCCAACAGCUCUUACAGGCCCUCUUAACCUCAGAAAAAAAACAAAAAAACAAAAAAAACAAAGAGUGUUCCUAGAGGCCAGAAAGCAUGUUCUGGGAGAUGAUGGGCGUCCCACCCAGCUGCCUGAGGACCAAACUGAGAUUUUAAUACAGCUGAAGGUAAGGGACACCUACGCCUUUAUCGCCAGUUGCUUCUAGCGGGUCUCCGAGGGGCUAUACGACGCCCUACUAAUUUGGCUCAGGUAAAACAGGUAUUACAGGAAGCAGGGGAAACUCCCUCCGCCUUUCUAGAGAGACUUAAGGAGGCCUACCGUAUGUACACUCCCUAUGAUCCAGAUGACCCAGGACAAAUGACGAGUGUCUCUAUGUCCUUCAUCUGGCAGGCUGCUCCAGAUAUCAGGACUAAGUUACAGAGGUUAGAAAAUUUGCAGGGCUAUACAUUACAGGAUUUACAUAAAGAAGCUAAAAAGAUUUUUAAUAAGAGAGAGAAUUGAGUCGAAUCUUGGCCGCCGUAGUUCAGGGCCAAGAAAGGAAGGGAGAUAGGGGGGAGCUCGAAAGGGGCUGAAGCUGGAUAAAGAUCAAUGUGCCUAUUACAAAGAGAAAGGACACUGGGCCAGAGAGUGCCCCAAGAAGCCUGGCGGACCCCGAAAGCCUCGACCACGAACCUCCCUCUUGGCUCUAGAUAAAGAUUAGGGAGGUCAGGGCCAGGAGCCCCCCCCCCCCUGAGCCCAGGGUAACGCUUAAGUUGGGGGGCAGCCGGUUACUUUCCUGGUAGACACAGGAGCCCAGCAUUCAGUCCUCACUCAAGCUUCAGGACAACUCAGCGACCGGACGGUCUGGGUACAAAGAGCUACUGGUGAGAAACAAUACCGAUGGACUACGGACCGCCGGGUUCAGCUGGCUACUGGUAAGGUGACCCAUUCCUUCUUACAUGUUCCGGACUGCCCGUACCCUCUGCUGGGCCGUGACCUGCUCACCAAACUAAAAGCACAAAUUCAUUCUCAGGAAAGAGGGGCCCGAAUAACUGGCCCCCACGGAACUCCCCUUCAAGUUCUAUGAAUAUAGACUAUAUGAACUGGGACAGGACAAGCCACAAUCCCUAGAAAUAGACACUUGGGUCACGAAUUUUCCACUGGCUUGGGCAGAGACUGGUGGGAUGGGGUUGGCACUCCAACAGCCCCCCUUAAUUAUACAGUUAAAGGCCACUACAACUCCAGUCUCCAUAAAACAAUACCCCCUGUCACAUGAAGCUUAUCAAGGUAUAAGGCCUCACAUUACGAGGCUUCUAGAUCAAGGCAUCCUAAUCUCCUGCCGGUCGCCUUAGAAUACGCCUCUUCUGCCUGUUAAGAAACCCGGCACUGGAGAUUAUAGGCCAAUACAAGACUUGAGAAAGGUCAACAAGAGGAUAAAAGAUAUUCAUCUGACUGUUCCAAACCCUUACAAUUUGCUCAGUAACUGUUCAUUGAUGAGAAACGGGUAUGCUAAAGGGGUCCUAACACAAAGGUUGGGACCCUGGAAACGCCCUGUGGCCUACCUGUCUAAGAAAUUGGACCCUGUGGCCUCCGGCUGGCCACCGUGCCUAAGGAUGGUGGCUGCUAUUGCUGUCCUGAUCAAGGACGCUGGAAAAUUGACAUUGGGACAGCCACUCACCAUCCUAACACCCCACACAGUGGAGGCCUUGGUAAAACAGCCCCCAGACCGCUGGCUCUCUAAUUCCCACAUGACCCACUACCAAGCCUUGUUACUGGAUGCAGAACGGGUUCAGUUUGGGCCCGUAGUCGCCCUCAAUCCUGCCACCUUGCUUCCUCUACCAGAGGAGACAGAACAGCAUGACUGACUACAAAUCCUCGCAGAAAUACAUAGAACCAGGCCGGACCUAUCGGACCAGCCUCUUCAGAAUGCUGACCACACAUGGUACACGGAUGACAACAGCUUCUUGGCAGAGGGAGAACAAAAAGGCUGGAGCUGCGGUCACUACGGAGGACAAAGUGAUUUGGGCGAAAGCCCUGCCUGCUAAUACCUCUGCACAACGGGCUGAACUCAUCGCCUUGACUCAGGCGCUCAAGAUGACAAAAGGUAAGAGGCUAAAUAUAUAUACAGACAGCCGUUAUGCCUUUGCCAUGGCACACAUCCACGGGGAGAUCUACCGGAGGCGGGGGCUGCUCACAUCUGAGGGUAAAGAUAUUAAAAAUAAGGCUAAAAUUCUGGCCCUCUUAGAAGCCCUAUUCUUGCCCAAAAGACUGAGUAUUAUACAUUGUCCAGGACACCAGAAAGGGCACAACCCAGAGGCAUGAAAAAACCGGCUGGCCGAUGCCACGGCGCGAGAAGCGGCCAUGAACAAACAAAUCUUGCCCUUAAAUAGCCCAGACCAACCCACGCCCCCACCAGUGGGACAAACUAGUUGGGUUUAUGCCCAUGAGGACAUAGAGCUCCUAAAAAAAUGGGGGCCAUCUACCACCCUCAACUAAAACAGUGGGUCUACAAAGGACUUUUGAAUUGAUCUCCUUUUUACAUAAGAAGAUAAAAACCUUACUAGAUCGAGAAGAGAUAAAUCUGUGUUUUUUUUUGAAUUGGGACAAAGCGAUACAAAAGGUGACUGAGAGUUACAAAGCGUGCGCUCAGGUUAACCCGGGAAGGACCAUGAUUGGACAAGGAGUUCGUCCUAGGGGACACCGUCCCGACAUCCAUUGAGAAAUUGAUUUUACUAAAAUUAAACCAGAUAUAUAUGGAUACAAGUAUCUCCUAGUGUUUGUAGACACCUUCUCAGGAUGGGUCAAAGCCUUCCCCACGAAGCACGAGACUACAAAAAUGGUCACCAAGAAGCUCCUCGAGGAAAUCUUUCCCAGCCCUUCUCUGAGGGCCCAUUUACAGGCCCUACAGAUUGUGCAGAGAGACGUCUGGAGACCUUUGGCCGCUGCUUACCAGGACAAGCUUGAACAUCCGGUGGUGCCACACCCGUUCCAGAUUGGAGACACCGUGUGGGUGCGCAGACACCAGACCAAGAAUCUCGAGCCACGGUGGAAAGGACCCUACACCGUCCUCCUGACUACCCCGACCGCCCUAAAGGUAGACGGAGUCUCGGCUUAGAUCCACGCACCACACGUCAAGACAGUCCGGUCUGAGGAAUUGACUAAUCACAACACUACACCCCAGACAUGGAGAGUUCAGCACACUCCAAACCCCUUAAAGUUAAAACUCCUACGUGGCUCCUCCUAGUCCUUUUGUGGCCUAGAGUCAGUGGGGGAAUAAGCCCCCACCAGACAGAAAUUUCUUGACCAAGUCGAGUGAAAGAUUUCACUCAAAGUUAACAAAAAAAAAAUGGGGGAAUGAAAGACCCCAGCUUAGCAGCAGUAACGCCAUUUUGCAAGGCUAUAAUUAAGAUGACUGGUUCAGAGAAAGGUUAGAACACUGAGUACACAGCGGCUGCCAAACAAGAUGUGUUUGGUUGAAGGCCUGGCAACAGGAGGACUGCCGUUGAGCACCUGACAAUGAGAAAAGCCCCAGGAGAGGUCCCACACCCUGGUGGGGGGCCGAGUCAGUCCUUAUGUUUCAAGAAGGUAGCUAAGAAACUUGCUCCCGGGCUAAACCCUUGCCAUAUUAGAAUCCACCAAUUAUAUCCCUGUAACCAUGCAUCUGCUUCUGUAUGCUUGCUUCUGCUCCCCAAAAUCCUAUAAAAGCCCAUCCUUGGUUCCAUGGGGCGCGCCAGUCCCCCGAGUGACUGAAGCGCCCGCAGGUGCCUGUGCCUGUGUAUCCCGACAAUAAACCAAAUCCUCUUGCUGAUUGCA
This is a non-coding RNA of Rattus norvegicus (Norway rat), 12619 nucleotides long. Lineage: Eukaryota; Metazoa; Chordata; Mammalia; Rodentia; Muridae. The record is from RefSeq and is a predicted model, not a curated record.